Molecule: unclassified non-coding RNA, 325 nt
Filed under: soil metagenome
Description: partial contains 5.8S ribosomal RNA, internal transcribed spacer 2, and large subunit ribosomal RNA
Rfam family: 5.8S ribosomal RNA (bases 1-120)
Source: RNAcentral
GAUGAAGAACGCAGCGAAAUGCGAUAAGUAAUGUGAAUUGCAGAAUUCAGUGAAUCAUCGAAUCUUUGAACGCACAUUGCGCCCCUUGGUAUUCCGAGGGGCAUGCCUGUUCGAGCGUCAUAUUAACCACUCCCGCUUGCGGGGUCUUGGGCUUCGCCUCCGGGCGGGCCUUAAAAUCAGUGGCGGUGCCGUCGGGCUCUACGCGUAGUAAAUUUUCUCGCGAUAGGGUCCCGGUGGAUGCUUGCCAACAACCCCCAACUUCUUAAGGUUGACCUCGGAUCAGGUAGGGAUACCCGCUGAACUUAAGCAUAUCAAUAAGCGGGGA